GCCCUAGUAACGGCGAGUGAAGCGGCAACAGCUCAAAUUUGAAAUCUGGCCCUCGGGUCCGAGUUGUAAUUUGUAGAGGAUGCUUUUGGUGCGGUGCCUUCCGAGUUCCCUGGAACGGGACGCCAUAGAGGGUGAGAGCCCCGUCUGGUUGGACACCAAGCCUCUGUAAAGCUCCUUCGACGAGUCGAGUAGUUUGGGAAUGCUGCUCUAAAUGGGAGGUAUAUGUCUUCUAAAGCUAAAUAUUGGCCAGAGACCGAUAGCGCACAAGUAGAGUGAUCGAAAGAUGAAAAGCACUUUGAAAAGAGAGUUAAAAAGCACGUGAAAUUGUUGAAAGGGAAGCGCUUAUGACCAGACUUGGGCUUGGUUGAUCAUCCGGCGUUCUCGCCGGUGCACUCUUCCGGUUCAGGCCAGCAUCAGUUUGCUUCGGGGGAUAAAGGCUUUGGGAAUGUGGCUCCUCCGGGAGUGUUAUAGCCCACUGUGUAAUACCCUGGAGCGGACUGAGGUACGCGUUCUGCAAGGAUGCUGGCGUAAUGGUCAUCAGUGACCCGUCUUGAAACACGGACCAAGGAGUCGUCUUCGUAUGCGAGUGUUCGGGUGUUAAACCCCUACGCGUAAUGAAAGUGAACGCAGGUGAGAGCUUCGGCGCAUCAUCGACCGAUCCUGAUGUUCUCGGAUGGAUUUGAGUAAGAGCAUACGGGGCCGGACCCGAAAGAAGGUGAACUAUGCCUGUGUAGGGUGAAGCCAGAGGAAACUCUGGUGGAGGCUCGCAGCGGUUCUGACGUGCAAAUCGAUCGUCAAACAUGGGCA
RNAcentral lists this ribosomal RNA (807 nucleotides) under Volutella leucaenae. RNAcentral describes it as "Volutella sp. RHP-2022a partial large subunit ribosomal RNA". It matches the Rfam family "Eukaryotic large subunit ribosomal RNA", at positions 77 to 917 of the family's 3401-position model. The record is from RNAcentral. Lineage: Eukaryota; Fungi; Ascomycota; Sordariomycetes; Hypocreales; Nectriaceae.